Molecule: long non-coding RNA, 273 nt
Filed under: Homo sapiens (human)
Lineage: Eukaryota; Metazoa; Chordata; Mammalia; Primates; Hominidae
Description: HSALNT0170396
Source: RNAcentral
CUUAGACAGUUCAUCUAUGAGGUUUUGCUGCUCCACAAUCUGAAGCUUCAAGAAAUCGACUUCUCUCUCAUCCUGACUUUGAUCAAGGUCAUUCAAGGAACUGGGUCUCCGUAUGAUUCCAGCUCUCUGUCUCUGAACGACAGCAAUGCAUUGCGGUCCUCCAGUUUGCGGAUAAUCGCACUUAACUCCGCGAUUUUAAGCUGGAAGCGCCGGGCAUCUUUUUCAUCCAACUGCUGUUCCUAAAACAAAAAUCAACUGCAAAUAACGGUUCCU